CUACGGGGCGCUGCAGUAAGGAAUAUUGGUCAAUGGACGAAAGUCUGAACCAGCCAUGCCGCGUGAAGGAUUAAGGUCCUCUGGAUUGUAAACUUCUUUUAUAUGGGACGAAAAAAGGUCUUUCUAGAUCACUUGACGGUACCAUAUGAAUAAGCACCGGCUAACUCCGUGCCAGCAGCCGCGGUAAUACGGAGGGUGCAAGCGUUAUCCGGAUUCACUGGGUUUAAAGGGUGCGUAGGCGGGCAGGUAAGUCAGUGGUGAAAUCCUGGAGCUCAACUCCAGAACUGCCAUUGAUACUAUCUGUCUUGAAUAUUGUGGAGGUAAGCGGAAUAUGUCAUGUAGCGGUGAAAUGCUUAGAUAUGACAUAGAACACCCAUUGCGAAGGCAGCUUACUACGCAUAUAUUGACGCUGAGGCACGAAAGCGUGGGGAUCAAACAGGAUUAGAUACCCCAGUAGUC
Molecule: ribosomal RNA, 459 nt
Filed under: uncultured bacterium
Lineage: Bacteria
Description: partial 16S ribosomal RNA
Rfam family: Bacterial small subunit ribosomal RNA
Source: RNAcentral